This 752-nucleotide long non-coding RNA is filed under the name Calidris pugnax (ruff). RNAcentral's name for it is "lncRNA (ENSCPUG00000012317.1)". Lineage: Eukaryota; Metazoa; Chordata; Aves; Charadriiformes; Scolopacidae. The record is from RNAcentral.
UCUGGUGGAUGAAGUGGUAUCUUUAGCCAUAAUGGUCGUUAUCCAUCUAUAGAAAAUAUUAAAGUAUGUUUUUGGAAAAUUUACAAAUGUUGCUGGCAAGUGAGAAAGAGAGGGGGGAAAAAAGCUAGUGAUCUUUUCACUGAUUAUGUGUAAUUUUUAUCUGAACGACAGUUGGGAAGAGAAAGAAGCUGGGCAAACCCCAAUCCUUGCUGUGAGACUGCGGAGGGGAGAAGCAAACGUCUAGCAGGGAUUGUUCCAGCUGGUGUUCGGCAACCCGGUGUACCUGCAACAAGCAAGCUGGCCCCUACCUUCUGCUUAGCAAGCCAACUAAUAGUUAGCCAGCAUUGCCUCCAAUUACAACAGGUACUGUGGCUUGAUAUCUGAGGUUUGUUCUCUUAAACUACCUGCAGCUCUCCCGCCCAGCACUCCAGUGAAUGACAGCACUGCUGCUCCUUCUCACAGAGAGAUGUGUCGGCCAGAGUAGAAAAUCCAGAACUCUUGAACCUCUCUAUCUGACAUCUACACAAACUGUUCAGCAGUGGGAGACAGGCAGCCAUACCUAUUCCCAGCAGUUACAGCACCAAAAAAGCAGUUGCUUUUUUGGCACCUUCUCUCACGAUCAGCUGAGCUUAAGAAAAACUAAAGAAAAAAUCAUAAAAAAGUUGGUUGGAAGGAGCCUCAACCUGAUGCUUGGACCAGGACUGACAGCAGGAGUAACUCAAGGCAGCCUAUUGUAUGCAAAUAGCCAUUAA